RNAcentral lists this ribosomal RNA (433 nucleotides) under uncultured bacterium. RNAcentral describes it as "partial 16S ribosomal RNA". It matches the Rfam family "Bacterial small subunit ribosomal RNA", at positions 29 to 507 of the family's 1533-position model. The record is from RNAcentral.
AACGAACGCUGGCGGCAUGCCUAACACAUGCAAGUCGAACGAGACCUUCGGGUCUAGUGGCGCACGGGUGCGUAACGCGUGGGAACCUGCCCUUAGGUUCGGAAUAACUCCCCGAAAGGGGUGCUAAUACCGGAUAAUGUCUUCGGACCAAAGAUUUAUCGCCUUUGGAUGGGCCCGCGUUGGAUUAGCUAGUUGGUAGGGUAAAAGCCUACCAAGGCGACGAUCCAUAGCUGGUCUGAGAGGAUGAUCAGCCACACUGGGACUGAGACACGGCCCAGACUCCUACGGGAAGCAGGAGUGGGGAAUAAUGGACAAGGGGCGAAAGGCUGAUCCAGCAAGGCCGCGUGAGUGAUGAAGGGCUUAGGGUUGUAAAGCUCUAUGAGCCGGGAUGAUAAUGACAGUACCGGGAGAAUAAGCUCCGGCUAACUCCGUG